Molecule: ribosomal RNA, 482 nt
Filed under: uncultured bacterium
Lineage: Bacteria
Description: bacterial SSU rRNA
Rfam family: Bacterial small subunit ribosomal RNA
Source: RNAcentral
AGAGUUUGAUCAUGGCUCAGGAUGAACGCUGGCGGUACGUCUGACACAUGCAAGUCGAACGGUAAGCCACCUUCGGGUGGCCUAGAGUGGCGAACGGCUGAGUAACACGUAGGAACCUACCCCUCAGUUCGGGACAACGGGACGAAAGCCCCGCUAAUACCGGAUGAUAUCGAAAGAUUGAAAGGUUUACUGCUGAGGGAGGGGCCUGCGGGCUAUUAGCUUGUUGGUGGGGUAACGGCUCACCAAGGCGAUGAUGGCUAGCUGGUCUGAGAGGAUGAUCAGCCAGACUGGGACUGAGACACGGCCCAGACUCCUACGGGAGGCAGCAGUUCAGAAUCUUGCACAAUGGGCGAAAGCCUGAUGCAGCGAUACCGCGUGGGUGAAGAAGGCCCUCGGGUCGUAAAGCCCUGUCAGAGGGAAAGAUAAUGACGGUACCCUCUAAGGAAGCCACGGCUAAUUACGUGCUAGCCGCCGCGGUAAUA